This 96-nucleotide non-coding RNA is filed under the name uncultured Saccharofermentans sp. Its description in RNAcentral is "SAM riboswitch (S box leader)". It matches the Rfam family "SAM riboswitch aptamer (S box leader)". Rfam says of the family: The SAM riboswitch is found upstream of a number of genes which code for proteins involved in methionine or cysteine biosynthesis in Gram-positive bacteria. The SAM riboswitch acts at the level of transcription termination control. Lineage: Bacteria; Bacillati; Bacillota; Clostridia; Eubacteriales; Oscillospiraceae. The record is from RNAcentral.
GCUUAUCAAGAGAGGUGGAGGGAUACGGCCCUAUGAAGCCCGGCAACCGCGGAAAGCGGCGGUGCCAAGUCCGUCAGGGAGACCUGGAAGAUGAGA